Brachypodium distachyon (stiff brome) is the source of this 125-nucleotide non-coding RNA. The record is from Rfam. NCBI's taxonomy places the organism in Eukaryota, Viridiplantae, Streptophyta, Magnoliopsida, Poales, Poaceae.
ACUAUACUCUCUCCGUUCCAUAAUUCUUGUCGAAAUAUUACAUGUAUCUAGACAUGUUUUAGGAAUAGCUACAUCCAUUUUUAGGCAAAUUUGAGACAAGAAUUAUGGAACGGAGAGAGUAUUUC